GUGUGGGUGCGGGCGUGUGAAUGUGUGUGUGUCGCUCGGGUCCACAUUCAUGCACACACCCACACACCUGCACUC
RNAcentral lists this microRNA precursor (75 nucleotides) under Myotis lucifugus (little brown bat). RNAcentral describes it as "miRNA (ENSMLUG00000030034.1)". Lineage: Eukaryota; Metazoa; Chordata; Mammalia; Chiroptera; Vespertilionidae. The record is from RNAcentral.